Molecule: ribosomal RNA, 2923 nt
Filed under: Klebsiella pneumoniae
Lineage: Bacteria; Pseudomonadati; Pseudomonadota; Gammaproteobacteria; Enterobacterales; Enterobacteriaceae
Description: 23S ribosomal RNA
Rfam family: Bacterial large subunit ribosomal RNA
Source: RNAcentral
GGGUUGUGAGGUUAAGCGACUAAGCGUACACGGUGGAUGCCCUGGCAGUCAGAGGCGAUGAAGGACGUGCUAAUCUGCGAAAAGCGUCGGUAAGGUGAUAUGAACCGUUAUAACCGGCGAUGUCCGAAUGGGGAAACCCAGUGCAAUUCGUUGCACUAUCGUUAACUGAAUACAUAGGUUAACGAGGCGAACCGGGGGAACUGAAACAUCUAAGUACCCCGAGGAAAAGAAAUCAACCGAGAUUCCCCCAGUAGCGGCGAGCGAACGGGGAGCAGCCCAGAGUCUGAAUCAGCUUGUGUGUUAGUGGAACGGUCUGGAAAGUCCGACGGUACAGGGUGAUAGUCCCGUACACCAAAAUGCACAGGUUGUGAACUCGAAGAGUAGGGCGGGACACGUGGUAUCCUGUCUGAAUAUGGGGGGACCAUCCUCCAAGGCUAAAUACUCCUGACUGACCGAUAGUGAACCAGUACCGUGAGGGAAAGGCGAAAAGAACCCCGGCGAGGGGAGUGAAAAAGAACCUGAAACCGUGUACGUACAAGCAGUGGGAGCACCUUCGGGUGUGACUGCGUACCUUUUGUAUAAUGGGUCAGCGACUUAUAUUCUGUAGCAAGGUUAACCGUAUAGGGGAGCCGCAGGGAAACCGAGUCUUAACUGGGCGUUAAGUUGCAGGGUAUAGACCCGAAACCCGGUGAUCUAGCCAUGGGCAGGUUGAAGGUUGGGUAACACUAACUGGAGGACCGAACCGACUAAUGUUGAAAAAUUAGCGGAUGACUUGUGGCUGGGGGUGAAAGGCCAAUCAAACCGGGAGAUAGCUGGUUCUCCCCGAAAGCUAUUUAGGUAGCGCCUCGUGAACUCAUCUUCGGGGGUAGAGCACUGUUUCGGCUAGGGGGUCAUCCCGACUUACCAACCCGAUGCAAACUACGAAUACCGAAGAAUGUUAUCACGGGAGACACACGGCGGGUGCUAACGUCCGUCGUGAAGAGGGAAACAACCCAGACCGCCAGCUAAGGUCCCAAAGUCAUGGUUAAGUGGGAAACGAUGUGGGAAGGCACAGACAGCCAGGAUGUUGGCUUAGAAGCAGCCAUCAUUUAAAGAAAGCGUAAUAGCUCACUGGUCGAGUCGGCCUGCGCGGAAGAUGUAACGGGGCUAAACCAUGCACCGAAGCUGCGGCAGCGACACUAUGUGUUGUUGGGUAGGGGAGCGUUCUGUAAGCCUGCGAAGGUGUGCUGUGAGGCAUGCUGGAGGUAUCAGAAGUGCGAAUGCUGACAUAAGUAACGAUAAAGCGGGUGAAAAGCCCGCUCGCCGGAAGACCAAGGGUUCCUGUCCAACGUUAAUCGGGGCAGGGUGAGUCGACCCCUAAGGCGAGGCCGAAAGGCGUAGUCGAUGGGAAACAGGUUAAUAUUCCUGUACUUGGUGUUACUGCGAAGGGGGGACGGAGAAGGCUAUGUUAGCCGGGCGACGGUUGUCCCGGUUUAAGCAUGUAGGCUGGUUAUCCAGGCAAAUCCGGAUAAUCAAGGCUGAGGUGUGAUGACGAGGCACUACGGUGCUGAAGUAACAAAUGCCCUGCUUCCAGGAAAAGCCUCUAAGCAUCAGGUAACAUUAAAUCGUACCCCAAACCGACACAGGUGGUCAGGUAGAGAAUACCAAGGCGCUUGAGAGAACUCGGGUGAAGGAACUAGGCAAAAUGGUGCCGUAACUUCGGGAGAAGGCACGCUGGUGUGUAGGUGAAGUCCCUGCGGAUGGAGCUGAGACCAGUCGAAGAUACCAGCUGGCUGCAACUGUUUAUUAAAAACACAGCACUGUGCAAACACGAAAGUGGACGUAUACGGUGUGACGCCUGCCCGGUGCCGGAAGGUUAAUUGAUGGGGUUAUCCGUAAGGAGAAGCUCUUGAUCGAAGCCCCGGUAAACGGCGGCCGUAACUAUAACGGUCCUAAGGUAGCGAAAUUCCUUGUCGGGUAAGUUCCGACCUGCACGAAUGGCGUAAUGAUGGCCAGGCUGUCUCCACCCGAGACUCAGUGAAAUUGAACUCGCUGUGAAGAUGCAGUGUACCCGCGGCAAGACGGAAAGACCCCGUGAACCUUUACUAUAGCUUGACACUGAACAUUGAGCCUUGAUGUGUAGGAUAGGUGGGAGGCUUUGAAGCGUGGACGCCAGUCUGCGUGGAGCCAACCUUGAAAUACCACCCUUUAAUGUUUGAUGUUCUAACGUUGGCCCCUGACCGGGGUUGCGGACAGUGUCUGGUGGGUAGUUUGACUGGGGCGGUCUCCUCCCAAAGCGUAACGGAGGAGCACGAAGGUUAGCUAAUCCUGGUCGGACAUCAGGAGGUUAGUGCAAUGGCAUAAGCUAGCUUGACUGCGAGCGUGACGGCGCGAGCAGGUGCGAAAGCAGGUCAUAGUGAUCCGGUGGUUCUGAAUGGAAGGGCCAUCGCUCAACGGAUAAAAGGUACUCCGGGGAUAACAGGCUGAUACCGCCCAAGAGUUCAUAUCGACGGCGGUGUUUGGCACCUCGAUGUCGGCUCAUCACAUCCUGGGGCUGAAGUAGGUCCCAAGGGUAUGGCUGUUCGCCAUUUAAAGUGGUACGCGAGCUGGGUUUAGAACGUCGUGAGACAGUUCGGUCCCUAUCUGCCGUGGGCGCUGGAGAAUUGAGGGGGGCUGCUCCUAGUACGAGAGGACCGGAGUGGACGCAUCACUGGUGUUCGGGUUGUCAUGCCAAUGGCACUGCCCGGUAGCUAAAUGCGGAAGAGAUAAGUGCUGAAAGCAUCUAAGCACGAAACUUGCCCCGAGAUGAGUUCUCCCUGAGACUUUAAGUCUCCUGAAGGAACGUUGAAGACGACGACGUUGAUAGGCCGGGUGUGUAAGCGCAGCGAUGCGUUGAGCUAACCGGUACUAAUGAACCGUGAGGCUUAACCUUACAACGCCGAAG